RNAcentral lists this non-coding RNA (236 nucleotides) under chicken gut metagenome. The record is from RNAcentral.
AGAACUAAUAAUUUCGAAGUAGGGAAUGAUAAGGUAACGCUUUGAAACCUACUCUUUAAUACUCCGACUGGCAUUAUAAAGGGAAACCUUAAAUGUCAGAAGCUCGGUGAAGUCGGCAGAAGUCGACCUAAGUAGAAGAAAUAAUUAAGUAUGAUUGGUACAAAAGUGGUCAGAACCCGCCUGUCAAAAAGAUUAGAGUAUGAAAUAUGGUUGAUGAUAUGCCGGAAGUCCAUAAA